UACGAAGGGGGCUAGCGUUGCUCGGAAUCACUGGGCGUAAAGCGCACGUCGGCGGUCUCUUAAGUCAGGGGUGAAAUCCUGGAGCUCAACUCCAGAACUGCCUUUGAUACUGGGAGUCUUGAGUUCGGGAGAGGUGAGUGGAACUGCGAGUGUAGAGGUGAAAUUCGUAGAUAUUCGCAAGAACACCAGUGGCGAAGGCGGCUCACUGGCCCGAUACUGACGCCGAGGUGCGAAAGCGUGGGGAGCAAACAGG
RNAcentral lists this ribosomal RNA (253 nucleotides) under uncultured bacterium. Its description in RNAcentral is "partial 16S ribosomal RNA". It matches the Rfam family "Bacterial small subunit ribosomal RNA", at positions 524 to 776 of the family's 1533-position model. The record is from RNAcentral.